Molecule: transfer RNA, 65 nt
Filed under: Dipodomys ordii (Ord's kangaroo rat)
Lineage: Eukaryota; Metazoa; Chordata; Mammalia; Rodentia; Heteromyidae
Rfam family: tRNA
About the family: Transfer RNA (tRNA) molecules are approximately 80 nucleotides in length. Their secondary structure includes four short double-helical elements and three loops (D, anti-codon, and T loops).
Source: Rfam by way of RNAcentral
GGUGGCUCAGUGGUAGAGUGCUUACCUUGCAUGUAUGAAGCCCUGAGUUUGAUUCCUCAGCACCA